Molecule: ribosomal RNA, 1436 nt
Filed under: uncultured organism
Description: SSU rRNA
Rfam family: Bacterial small subunit ribosomal RNA
Source: RNAcentral
ACAGGCUUAACACAUGCAAGUCGAGGGGCAGCAUGGUCUUAGCUUGCUAAGGCCGAUGGCGACCGGCGCACGGGUGAGUAACACGUAUCCAACCUGCCGUCUACUCUUGGACAGCCUUCUGAAAGGAAGAUUAAUACAAGAUGGCAUCAUGAGUCCACAUGUUCACAUGAUUAAAGGUAUUCCGGUAGACGAUGGGGAUGCGUUCCAUUAGAUAGUAGGCGGGGUAACGGCCCACCUAGUCUUCGAUGGAUAGGGGUUCUGAGAGGAAGGUCCCCCACAUUGGAACUGAGACACGGUCCAAACUCCUACGGGAGGCAGCAGUGAGGAAUAUUGGUCAAUGGGCGAGAGCCUGAACCAGCCAAGUAGCGUGAAGGAUGACUGCCCUAUGGGUUGUAAACUUCUUUUAUAAAGGAAUAAAGUCGGGUAUGCAUACCCGUUUGCAUGUACUUUAUGAAUAAGGAUCGGCUAACUCCGUGCCAGCAGCCGCGGUAAUACGGAGGAUCCGAGCGUUAUCCGGAUUUAUUGGGUUUAAAGGGAGCGUAGAUGGAUGUUUAAGUCAGUUGUGAAAGUUUGCGGCUCAACCGUAAAAUUGCAGUUGAUACUGGAUAUCUUGAGUGCAGUUGAGGCAGGCGGAAUUCGUGGUGUAGCGAUGAAAUGCUUAGAUAUCACGAAGAACUCCGAUUGCGAAGGCAGCCUGCUAAGCUGCAACUGACAUUGAGGCUCGAAAGUGUGGGUAUCAAACAGGAUUAGAUACCCUGGUAGUCCACACGGUAAACGAUGAAUACUCGCUGUUUGCGAUAUACUGCAAGCGGCCAAGCGAAAGCGUUAAGUAUUCCACCUGGGGAGUACGCCGGCAACGGUGAAACUCAAAGGAAUUGACGGGGGCCCGCACAAGCGGAGGAACAUGUGGUUUAAUUCGAUGAUACGCGAGGAACCUUACCCGGGCUUAAAUUGCAGAUGAAUUACGGUGAAAGCCGUAAGCCGCAAGGCAUCUGUGAAGGUGCUGCAUGGUUGUCGUCAGCUCGUGCCGUGAGGUGUCGGCUUAAGUGCCAUAACGAGCGCAACCCUUGUUGUCAGUUACUAACAGGUUCUGCUGAGGACUCUGACAAGACUGCCAUCGUAAGAUGUGAGGAAGGUGGGGAUGACGUCAAAUCAGCACGGCCCUUACGUCCGGGGCUACACACGUGUUACAAUGGGGGGUACAGAGGGCCGCUACCACGCGAGUGGAUGCCAAUCCCAAAAACCUCUCUCAGUUCGGACUGGAGUCUGCAACCCGACUCCACGAAGCUGGAUUCGCUAGUAAUCGCGCAUCAGCCACGGCGCGGUGAAUACGUUCCCGGGCCUUGUACACACCGCCCGUCAAGCCAUGGGAGCCGGGGGUACCUGAAGUGCGUAACCGCGAGGAGCGCCCUAGGGUAAAACUGGUGACUGGGGCU